UACGUAGGGGGCAAGCGUUGUCCGGAAUCAUUGGGCGUAAAGAGCGUGUAGGCGGCCCGGUAAGUCCGCUGUGAAAGUCAAGGGCUCAACCCUUGAAUGCCGGUCGAUACUGUCGGACUAGAGUCCGGAAGAGGCAAGUGGAAUUCCCGGUGUAGCGGUGAAAUGCGCAGAUAUCGGGAGGAACACCAAUGGCGAAGGCAGCUUGCUGGGACGGUACUGACGCUGAGACGCGAAAGCGUGGGGAGCAAACAGG
RNAcentral lists this ribosomal RNA (253 nucleotides) under uncultured bacterium. RNAcentral describes it as "partial 16S ribosomal RNA". It matches the Rfam family "Bacterial small subunit ribosomal RNA", at positions 524 to 776 of the family's 1533-position model. The record is from RNAcentral.